RNAcentral lists this ribosomal RNA (489 nucleotides) under uncultured bacterium. RNAcentral describes it as "partial 16S ribosomal RNA". It matches the Rfam family "Bacterial small subunit ribosomal RNA", at positions 30 to 506 of the family's 1533-position model. The record is from RNAcentral.
AUUGAACGCUGGCGGCAGGCCUAACACAUGCAAGUCGAACGGUAACAGGAAACAGCUUGCUGUUUCGCUGACGAGUGGCGGACGGGUGAGUAAUGUCUGGGAAACUGCCUGAUGGAGGGGGAUAACUACUGGAAACGGUAGCUAAUACCGCAUAACGUCGCAAGACCAAAGAGGGGGACCCUCGGGCCUCUUGCCAUCGGAUGUGCCCAGAUGGGAUUAGCUUGUUGGUGGGGUAACGGCUCACCAAGGCGACGAUCCCUAGCUGGUCUGAGAGGAUGACCAGCCACACUGGAACUGAGACACGGUCCAGACUCCUACGGGAGGCAGCAGUGGGGAAUAUUGCACAAUGGGCGCAAGCCUGAUGCAGCCAUGCCGCGUGUAUGAAGAAGGCCUUCGGGUUGUAAAGUACUUUCAGCGGGGAGGAAGGGAGUAAAGUUAAGACCUGUGCUCAUUGACGUUACCCGCAGAAGAAGCACCGGCUAACUCCGU